RNAcentral lists this ribosomal RNA (253 nucleotides) under uncultured bacterium. Its description in RNAcentral is "partial 16S ribosomal RNA". It matches the Rfam family "Bacterial small subunit ribosomal RNA", at positions 524 to 776 of the family's 1533-position model. The record is from RNAcentral.
UACGUAGGGCGCAAGCGUUGUCCGGAAUUAUUGGGCGUAAAGAGCUCGUAGGCGGCCUGUUGCGUCCGCUGUGAAAUCCCGGGGCUUAACCCCGGGCGUGCAGUGGAUACGGGCGGGCUGGAGGCAGGCAGGGGAGAACGGAAUUCCUGGUGUAGCGGUGAAAUGCGCAGAUAUCAGGAGGAACACCGGUGGCGAAGGCGGUUCUCUGGGACGGUACUGACGCUGAGACGCGAAAGCGUGGGGAGCGAACAGG